Non-coding RNA from Pelodiscus sinensis (Chinese soft-shelled turtle), 698 nucleotides. Lineage: Eukaryota; Metazoa; Chordata; Testudines; Trionychidae. The record is from RefSeq and is a predicted model, not a curated record.
CUGACAAGUGGUAUAUAUCUAUAAAUGGGCAAUGACACUGACCUGAAGUAAAUCCCUACAAUCAUUGCUGCUCGUGGUAUACUCUCUAAUAUCUGUCGGCAGAAAGAAGGGUACUACAUAGACUUCUGGGAUGCUGAGUUUGGACAUUACCCAUUUCUCCAAUGCCCUGUGACCUCUGCGACUGCCACUGCAGAUCAUGGUAUACAGAGAAGCAGUGCCUCAGAGUUUCCUGAUGGCGGCAAGAACAGGAAGCAAAAAUGCUGAUACCAGGAUAUAGAAAAGCUGUUUUUACUGCAUUUUGACCUGGCUGAAAUCAGAUUCCUUAUCAAGGAAGCAUCGCGGUGUUCUAAUUUGGAGUUUCUGGAAGGCACUCCAAGCCCCUUCAGCAAGGUGAAAUCAAAGCUGUGUGAAACAGACUGAUACAGCGACGAAGUCACAAAAACUAUGGAAACAAGAAGGGUGGUGUGAGGGUUUUUUUGCAUUGUUUUGCUUUUUUGCAAUGGAAGCCCCAUUAUCUGCUUACAAUAACUAGUGCAAGACAGAAUGCUUUCUGCUUUGUUUGGAGGAGGAGUCUGUAUAUUCCCCAUAGAUCGUAGGUCCCAGGACCCUUUGGGGGAGCAUGGUUGGGGGUAGGGCCUUUGACCCUGGCUGGGGCUCCACUCCUGCUCCUGCCCCUGCCCCAACUGUGGCCCCAGCCU